UUACAUGUCAUUUAGCAAACGCUUUUAUGCAAAGCGACUUACAAUAGAAUUGAGUACAAUCAGUCAGGAGUGGAGUCGAACCAUUGCGACCAUGAUGUCUUUCGCACACAGGGUACCGGUCUUAACCACUGAGCCACUCCACCCCCGAACUCCCAACGACAAAGCUUCCUGGAUGUUGACUGAGGGCUCUCAUUGGCUGAGCUGUCCCAACAUGGCAGAGCUUGAUUGGCUGACUCGGACAGCGCCUACACCCGCCCUCCCUUCACUUUUCAAGAUGCUCAGGGCGGGAAAUCAAGUGCUCUUAAAGGACGAUUCUGGUUAUUUUAUCAUUUUUUUUGGAGCAACUCUCUUGUUUGAAUGUUACUGCAAAGAUACAGACUACUGUAUAUUUGAAUUGACAUAUUUAAAAGGUAUUAUUAAUAACAAUAUGUUUUUUCAAAUCUUCAUUUGGCUUACAUUUACAAAAAAAAUACUUUUAUAAAUACUAUUAUAUUCCUGUUGCUUCACUGUGCAAACAAACACAAUCUAACUUAAAUGUGAAUGCAAAUGUAAGGAACACAACAUUAAAGAUAAGGCUCUUUUUUUUAGACAAAAAUAAUAAUUCAAGGCCCACCAGUUUUUGCACACGACACCAGGGUUUCCCAUGUUGGUGUUUGUGUUUUGCGUUUGUACCAUGUGUCGGGGACAUCCUACACAAACUAUGUUAAGCCUCAUUUCAAUAUUGGAUGACUUAUGUCCUUGUCCUUCCUUUAUUUGAUGCAAACCUCUUUGAAUUGACUUACUGUUGAAAUGAAAUAAACAAAUAAAGGUGCCUCGUGUGUCGAAUAA
Molecule: long non-coding RNA, 828 nt
Organism: Solea solea (common sole)
Lineage: Eukaryota; Metazoa; Chordata; Actinopteri; Pleuronectiformes; Soleidae
Exons: 2
Source: RefSeq, a predicted model, not a curated record